Molecule: ribosomal RNA, 458 nt
Filed under: Triticum aestivum (bread wheat)
Lineage: Eukaryota; Viridiplantae; Streptophyta; Magnoliopsida; Poales; Poaceae
Description: partial small subunit ribosomal RNA
Source: RNAcentral
GUGAAGGGCAGUGAGAUCCAUGGGAGUGUGACCAGCAUGGAACGCGUUGGCAGGGAGGGGAAGUAGGAGUAGGUGGUGGCGCCGCCGCCGACGUACUUGCGGAUGUCAGCGUUGAAGGAGACAGGGAAGGGCGCCGAUGAGACGGCUAUGAGGAGGGGGAGGUGGUUGUGGUCGGAGGUGGGGCUGCUGCCGCAGGAAAGCGAGGACGCAACAGAGCCGUUGGGGCACGAACGGCGCCGACGGCGAACUUGUGAAGUCAACACCGGAGAGGGCUGCAUCGACAACCUACUUGCCAAGGACCAAGUCAGGCAGACUGGGAAGGGGGCCGGGAGGUGGAGACGACGAGGAUUAGAGGGUCCUGGUGGUGGUCGGCGGUGAGGCUUGAGAUUCGUUGGGGGACGGAGCGCACCGACAGCAGCGAUUUCUCCAGAUCGUUCCGUGGCCUUCUUUUUGUCCUG